This is an RNA transcript of Propithecus coquereli (Coquerel's sifaka), 2079 nucleotides long. RefSeq lists it as uncharacterized. The transcript has a single exon. NCBI's taxonomy places the organism in Eukaryota, Metazoa, Chordata, Mammalia, Primates, Indriidae. The record is from RefSeq and is a predicted model, not a curated record.
UCUCCUCUCGAAUGCAAGUGUCAGGUGUGUGUAGUCCCAGAGGGCGCUGUGCUGGGAAUAGAUCCGUUCUCAGCACAGAGGGAAUGUGGCAUUUGGCCCCAGGAAGGGUCUGCCUGGCUGAGGGGCAAUUGUUCAGCUGCCUAGGGCUAAGGCUGGUCUCCGGCCUGUGGGGUGUCCACAGGCUUGCCCGCCCACCUUGUCCCCUCACCUCUCAGGCCAUGCCCACACUGGUGUGGUGUCAGAGCCUGCAGGAUUGACUUACUGUCCUUGGAGCAGCCCUGCGAAACCCAAACCUGCCUCAGGGCAACAUGGGGGAAGGAGGGCUGUAAAUUGUCCCAGGCCAAACCUCCAUAAACCCAUAAACAUGGGGUCCCCUGCAGCCUGGCCAUGGCCUCCGAACCUGUCAGCAACACCUUACAGGGAGCCCCUGACACUAAGUAAACACCUGAGAAAUAAAUUACCCCAGAAGAGAUGAGAUGGGCUUCCAGGAGCACUGAAGGAGGAAGCACUUGAUCUUUUAAGAACCUCCUUUAAAAGAUAGAAAGUGGGUGUUGGAGGUGACUGGAAGAGGAUGACCCUGAGGAAUGUAAAUGACAGAAUGCGUAGCAGAAGGAUAUGGAAGAGGCAGGGAGGGGCUUCGGGGAUCACUGUGCACGUGCUCUGAGAACACCCUGCCCACAGCCUCUUUAAGGUGACCGAGCAUGGGAGGAGGCUGCAGGGGGUGCUCAGGUCUGAGUGCCAUCCUUACCCCUGUUCACUGCUGGCACCAGGCCUGUGCCUGGCGUGUGCUCCAACAGGAGGGCCCUCGACAGCCCAUCUUGUUGCCUCCCGUGGUGACUGCACCUGGGAGUGGAUUGGCCGGCUGGUCUCUAGUGGUGUUUCCCAGGGUCCUUGGCCCCUCUGACGUGGCGGGCAGGAGGCAGUUGGUGCCCUGUGUUCUUCCAUGCUUGUCUAAUCGCUUGCAAAGCAGAGAAUGAGUAGGAAUGAACUGCCACAGCAGGACAGGGUUGAGGCCUCUCUGGUGAGCGAGGGAACUGGGCUGCUCUAACUUCUGAAGAGUGGGCUCUGGCUCAAGACUCCAGUCAGCGAGAAGCCCACAGAGAUCAAAGCAGGAGCAAGUACAGCUGUCCUGGCCCCGGGGCCCAGCCGUGGGGCGUGCCUGGGCACGGCUUCACCCACACGCCCCAUUGUCAGCCUAGACAGGAUCCGCCUGCAGGCUGGCCAGGCAUCACCCAGCCCCAUGUGUCCUGGACACGCACACGUACUCUUCACGGGCACUCAUAAGUGGCUGUCCUCCGGAAUCCUGCUGCCCUUGCCUGCUGAGGCCACACCAGUGAUCCCACAGAGCCCAGUCACCUGGCACCCUGUUGGGUUUCAAAUCUCCUGUUGGUGUUGAUGUCUGCUUUUGUUAACUACCUUGGAAAUGUUUAACCUUUUGAUUGUUUCCUCUGGCGUCUUUGUUUACCUUCCUCACUGUUCUACCUCCUGGCCAGGUCUCUCAGCUUAGCUGCCCUGGUGUGGGGUGUUUUCCAAACCUUCCAGCCACAGCUGCCCCCCUCAGGCUGGACGGCUCAGAGGUGACAGGGCUUCUCCUCUGCCUGCAGACCCUCAGCCUGCAGACCUCCAGUGGGCCCAUCUCACAGGUUCAGUCUUAACCAGCUGAGCACAGUCAACAAGGCAGAAGUGUGUGGAGGAAAGUCAGGUAAAUCUGCUUCAGAAGCGAAGUGUCUUUAGAAGCACAGCCUGGAGGUCCCUUCCCUGCCUACAUGGGGAGCUGCCGUCCUUGGGAUUCAUGCACAUUAAGACCUUCCCCAUCCAAACUCACCUUCCAGCAGGGAUUUGACUUUGGAUGACAAGGCUUUAUUUGUAAAUAUGCGCUUAAUAUGCAACUUUGAGAAUAAAAUAGAAACAUCAUGUAUUUUAAAAUAUAAGAUGAAGUGUGACGCACUGUAUACAAUUUAAUAUAUAUUUUUAGGAUUUUGUUAUUUAAGAAAAUGGAAUGUAAUGGUACUUAACUUUUACAAAAGAGAAAAAAAUGUUAUUUUUACUGUCUGGAGAAAAUAAAUAUUCUCAUUGUUG